Molecule: non-coding RNA, 9194 nt
Organism: Phasianus colchicus (ring-necked pheasant)
Lineage: Eukaryota; Metazoa; Chordata; Aves; Galliformes; Phasianidae
Source: RefSeq, a predicted model, not a curated record
AGAAGGAGGAUUUAGACGGUAAUAUCUUCUUUUCUGUCGUGCACAUCAGCAUUACAAUUCCUCAGCGUGUGACCUGCUCUAAAAAACCUGCAGCUCGAUGCUGUAAAGCAUUAAUUUUUAAGCUCGCUACAACCAGCAAACAGCUGUCUGUCCAAAGCAGUUGUCACAAGAACCAUCGGUCUGCUCAUCUGGAGGCAUCCAAACCUCUUGUCCCCUUUCUGUACUCAAUUUUGCCAAUACAAAAGCUGGCUUCAGCUGGAGCUUCCCUAAACUCGUUUCUUCCCAUACCCCAGCCCUGGGCUGCCAGAGCCCUUGUUCCAAAUACCUGCAAGCCACUCCCGCUGUCCUUACAUGUACGUGGCCCAGGCCACACCUCACCCAUGAAUGCCCUGACAGACAGGGGCACUGGGUGCACAUUUCUGGCUUCCUACACAGAGCUCUCCUACAACCACACACGUACCAUGGGAGGGUAUCACACUGUCAGUCCUCUGCACGCAUUAAGACAGGUAGCACAGGCUGUGAUUUAUGCCAAGUGUUCCAGCAGUGAGUACUCACUGCCUCAUAAGAAAACAGAAAAUAAAGCCAUAAAACCUCCUUUUGUAAUUUGCUUUAAGAAAAUACAUUCUAACAGACAUGUUUUCCUUCACUCAUCAAGCUCAAGAGGUUCCAAAUGAGUAAAAACCCUGAAGAGAUUUCUGAAAAUGCCUGGAGAGGUUUGGGUGCUCAUCAGCAACACCUACCCAGAACUUACAAACUCUGCUCUUACAAACUCUGUCAGACACUUCUUUAAUACAUCGGGGGCAAUGAUUUGACACUGCAAUCCAACAUUUGUGCUGCUUGGUAAGAUGCCUCCUUUGGAAACAUCCCUGCUUUGUCCUUUAAAUCAUUUCCAGCAUUACCUUCUGCUGCCUUAAUCACACGACACUGCUACCAAAGGAGCUUCUAUUCCCUGCCCAGGUAGUAAGAGAGCUGUUUUGCAUGAGCUGGGAGAGAUGGGCAGCACAUGGAGCUGAGAGAGGAUUCGUAUGAACUGGCUGGGAGGACUGCUGCUGGAAGAGCUCUGCCCAAUUUACAUAAAAUUAGCAGAGCCAGAUGCAAUAUUGCGAGACCUGUGUAAGCAACCUGGACAAAUAGUGCACUUGUGAAAUACCUCCAAAGGAACUCAGCCCAAAAGGAAGUUCAGCUGAGGGCAGGAUGUGGCCCUACAAGAGGAAAGUGCAGGUUUGUUAGUGAUUUGACAAUUCAUUGAGCAGGCAGCCAUGCUGCAACAGCCCCGGCAAGGAGCACGCACAGCCUCUGAAUUAAAGCAAGAGACAGACAGCAAGUUACAAAGGCAAAGGGAAAAGCAUCAGUGUCAGGCCAAAUAACAUAAUGUUUAUUGCUCGAGUUCCUAAAAGAAUAAAGUAAGCCACAGAUCAUUUAAAAGCCUCUUCAGAUGAUAUGGGCUUUAAUAAAGGGCAUGGGCGAAACGAGGACGGAUGUUUAAAUGCUGCCGACCACUUAAUGCCUUCUGCAGAUGCAAAGUGGCCAGAAGGAUGUGAGGGGAAGCCUGCAAGGGCUGCGUUUAAGCGCAGGACUGUCAGAGGCAUCCACUCUGCUCCUGCUCUGCAGCUGGAUGACAAGAGAUGAGAUGUGACACUGCUCUGUGCUGGUACAGGCACACACUUCCACCUGUCCUACAGGCACACAGACCACGGGUGUCUGGUGCUGAAUGCCAUCUGCUGAGGCCAAGGUGCAGGGCAGGGAAAUGCUGACACACGGGUUCAGCAUCACCACCUUCAGGGAUGUUACAGAGCUGUCCUACAUCAGCCUUGGUGCUGCUGAGCAGGAGAAAAAUCUCACAGCAACAGAAGGUAACACGGAACAGAACACCAGCAGCAGCAAAGGGAUCCCAGACUACUGAAGUAAGGACAGGGAAAAAUGGUGUGGUUUGGUAACAAGGUAAGAGAAGGUAACAGGACAGGCCGUGUUUCUCUAGUAGAAAGUAUUUUUAGAGCAAACAAGGACAUUCAAAGAACUGUGAAAAGCUAAGAGAAUUCAAACCCCUGUGACUGUCAGUCCUCAUUCCACUGCCACAAUGCACCUUGCAGCUCCCCAUCAAAGGGGUCAGGAAUGCCUUUUCUAAAUACCUCAACAAGGCUGUUAUGGGGGUGCUGGGGUCAAAGGAGGACCAAAAUGUAAAAGCAAGUUCCCAAAGUUUAAGUCAUAGAUGUAAUUCUGCUUUUCUACCAUGUCCCCAUGGAGGUCUCAGAACCAUCUCUAUGGUGGACCUUUUCUUGACAAGGGACACUGGAGAAACCAGCAGUGGUGCCAGCAGAUGUGGUUACAGAGCAAACACUUGCGUGUUCAUACGCUUAAAAACACAGCAUUCAUUCUGUAAUAAGGACAAUCAGUGUGACCACAAGUCUUCAUCUAGAGGCUCUUAAGAAACAGCUCCACGGUGGGCAAUCGCCAGCUCACACCUCCAUCAGCACCAGAACGGGAGGCAGCAGAUGGAAUGGUUUUUAAGAGGGUUCUGAAAGAGAACCAGGUGACUUCAGAACAGGCAGAGCGCUAGGGGAUGGGACAGGAAUCACAGGAGGUACUGAAGAGCUCUGAAGGGAGGAAUAAUGAACAGGCACUGCAGUCAAGAUGACGGAGGAGGCGCGGGACGAAGGACUGCAUUAAUUUCACAAAGUUGUUGAACAAAACAUGUAAGCGCCAGAUGUUCCUGCUUUUCCAAAAUCGACGUUUCCUACCUGCUUCAUUUGAAAGUGUCACAAAGCAUUUAAAAGAAGAUGUAACUCACUAAACGUGGAAAUGAUGAUGUUGAAGAUAUCAUGAUGGCGUCGAAUGAAUCAGGAGGAGGAGGCUGAUUCACCCAAGGGAUGCCAGGAACGAACAGUGCCUGAGCCAAGCUGUCCUGCUCUGCAGGCUGCCACACUGCAGCUGCAGAUGGAGGCUGGGAAUUUUGGUCACAUCUAUAAAUGAGCUUGAUGUAACAAGUGUGCAAACAUGAAAAACAAACAACCUGGCACAAACCACAAUCAGGUCAGGAGAGCUGCUGUGCUGAAACACACCUGGCAAUGACAGCACUGCCCCUGUCCUUCCUGAGCAACGUGUCAGUCCUCUGCUGUUCUCCCUGCCUCAAAAUAAAACCUGGAAUUUGUGCUGCCUGUGCGAGCAGCUGCAGGAACUGGAGUCCCUUUGGGGAGCCGUGGGGCGCAGGCUGCUCCAAGUGCUUCAAUCUGUCUGUGGGACUGUGGCUCUCCAGCCUGGGAGCUCUGUAAAAAGCCUUGUGACAUGCAUGGAAAUUAAGUUCAAAACUUCAAAUCAAUCAGAAAUAGAGGUUUUAGAAAGGGAAGCCCAUUUUCUGGUCAUGGAGCCUGGCUCUUAAGUCUGGCCAUUGCCAUUUCUUGCCUCGGCCUCAUUUACGUAACCCAUUAUCCACCUAGCAGUGACAAUCUAGAUAUCCAAAGUCUUAUGAAAAUGAAUGCAAAAUGAUGAGCAAUACACAAAAUGGGAAAAACAGACAAUGCUCCACAAAUCUGCUCUGCAUUUUAAUCCUGCUAGCAACCACUACUACACAGACACAAGACAGCAAUGACGGGCUCAGGAUGCCUUCUCCUCCCCUCUCCCAGCCACCCUGGCUAACACCAGGUAUGAAAACAUACCUUAAGCACUCAGACAGGUCAGCCCUAUUGCUGAUGGAGCAUAUGGCCUGCGUGCCUGUGUGAUGUAUGUCUGGACAGAGCAGCUGGUUGAACCAUUAAUCUUUGUCAGCAGCACAUGCCUAACCCCAGAUGCCCACAUUAAGCAGCUCUUCAUAUCUAAUGGAAGAGCUGUCAUAGACAGAGGGCUCAGCAAGUACUCAAAGAGCUCAAACAAGGCACUGCCACCAAAUUCAAAUGCGGGAGGCACAAGCUGCACCAUUAUCCUUCAGGCAGGCCACUCACCCAUCUGGAAUAGGAUCCUUGUUUUGUAGUUACACCAGCAGAAAGGAUCAGUCACCUCAAAGGCAUCUUAACAAAUCUACCAAGCAAAACCAGCAGGUGAGAUCUCUCUUACAAACAGACCUGCCUUGCGUUUAGAAAGCAGCCAGCAUGUGGAUGAUGUAGAGGCGGGGAAAUCAAAGGCUGUUGAGAAGCUCUGCAGACCUAAAGCCAGAACUACAGCUCAGCACAGACAACCUCAUAAAGGUGUGCACGCCUGCACGUGUGCUCAGGAGGAAAUUCAAGAGAGCUGAUGCAGCCCCAGAGUCCUGUUUCACAGAACACGCUCCAUCUCAGUCAUAAAUCCACUGGUACACAUUUAGCAUCUGGAUCUCCAUCUGCACAGUGGUCACAACAUCCAGUUUCAGCUAGGGGAAUCAGACCUUCACUCUAUCAAACAUGCGAAGCUUAAGAUUUACAUCGACAAAUUAUUCCGGCCAUCAUCUGGCUGGAGUAAUAUCCCAGGGAUUAGUGAUCAAAUCCUACAAAAAAACCCCUAACUUUCCAGGUAAAUACACUCUUACAUGAUGUCUGGUACCCACUACAGAGCAACUGAUUUAUUUUCUAACAGAUGCUUGGACAGAUUUGGCAGAAGGACAGAAAUACGGGACCUUCUGUGUCUGUGUACGUUGAGGGCGGUGGGCACUGCAAUUCUUCAUUAUCUAAACCAAACAUUUUGGAGUCAGGGUGAAGGGACUGAUUGAAGUACACAAUUAUUCCUGCAUAAAAGCACGAAACACUGGGCAUUUAACUGUAUGAAAUCAUCUACAAUACGAAUAACUUGUAGGAAGGACACAUAUAGUCAAAAAUAGGCAGAAUAUGGCAAGACUACCUGAAAUGUAGCUGCUUCCAUGUGAAACACUUGGCAACGCAGGGAAAUAUUCUGUAUUUCAGAGCUUCUCAAAAUUCUGCCAGAGCUCUGUGAUCACAAUGACUCACUGAAGUUGUACAAAGAAAAGAAUCAAACAGGGACAUUUGAGACUAUCCAGAAGGAAAUGAAGCAUGGUAAGAAAACACACUAUUUUUAUCGAUGCUUUGUUUCACACAGCAAUUGCAAUGCUCCAGUCAGCCCAGCGCCGCGCUUCCAGCAGCUCCUGGAGCAGCUCUCCUGUGCCUGCAGCUGCAGCCAGGCCUUGGCAGCCCUGCCCUGACACAGGGGAGGCUGGGGAUCCAAAGCCUUGCAACUGAUGUCUCAAUCUGCAUCUCACAGCCUCGUGGGAAUAAUCUGCUUUUUGCCCUGUUUGUUUGCUUGUUUCUCUUCUUUCCCUAUUGAAAAAAGAGAUUAAAGACUGAAAAACUUUUUGGCCCCGCAUCUGGAAGACUGACACAGAAGCUAGGAGAAAGCUCCUACACAUUUGUUUUUCCUACAAAGAGCCAUUCUGAACACUUGGCUGGCACGGCCGAAGGAAGAAAGUUCACACGGGAGAAGAAAAUUACUUACUUGAUUUGCUUUGCAAUUCUUACCUAUUGUACCUUAAGAUUAUCUCAAUGCACAGAACACCCAUAAGCUACAUAACAAGUUGAGUCAGUGGCUGUAAGCAUUAAUUUUGUGUCAUUUUCGCCUCAAUGUUUUUCAUAAGGACCUUUUGCUCUUUGCAGGACGCUGCUCCUCCUGCAGCUGGUUGCAUUUUGCCCUGUUUCCUGUGGCACUGGCUUUAGGAUGAUGCUGUGCCUCUCCAAGGAGCACCCACACACCUCCCCGCUCCUCACUAAACACCUGUUCCUUACAGCCCAAAGAUCUGGAGUUAACUCUUGCUGAAGCUGCCCACGCCAGGACUGCACCACACAUCACCCCUCACUUGCUCUGUUUUCUUGCUGUCACCCCACAGGCAGAGGCCAUGCAGUGCUGCCAUGCUGCUCUGACCCCCAGGGCUGGCUGGGAGGCACCAUAAGAGCACAGGGAGCACAGUUCUCAGCUCACAGCUCCCAAAUGAUCACCAUAAAGAUUCCUGCCCUGUGCCUCCCAAGCUGCCCCAAGCUGAGCCCAGCAGGAUGCCCCAGGCUUAGGUGGAUUUUCACACCUGUGUUUUUCUGCAUUGAAGAAAACACAGCCUGCUUACUAGCAGCUUAUAAGGACCUGCUCCUAGCUUCAUUUUCCAUAUCAUAGAUCCCAAAAUUAUCACUAUCUUCAUGCCUCCUCCUCUGCUCCCAGCUCCAUUUUGCUACAAGCAGGAGCACAGUUCGUAAGCAGGACAUUUAAGUCACUUCCACUUACAUCCAGCCCCAGGUUUGCAUUCACAUGCCUGUGUGCCAGCCCUCCACGUACUUCAACACAGCAAAAAGCACUCUGCAGACUGAUGAGUUGAAAUGCCUGGAAGCAAAACACGCAGAGAUUGCUUUGCACGAUCUCCAGCUGUAAUGGCAGUGACCAGGCAGUGGACAGAGGCUGAUGCACCAGAGGAGAAUCACAGAAUCAUAGACAGAAUCAGAGAAGUUGACUUACGACUUCCACUUCUUUGUUCCAGUAUAUAAAAGGUACUUAGACCACUCUCCUUGCCUUUUUGGGAUUUGCUUCAGGAGUCUCUGCAGAGGAUGCUUCCUCCUGUUGCUACAAUGCCAUCAGUGCUGACACAGACUUUUCUGGAGCAACACAACCCUUCCCAGAAGGGAAUGCUGCCAACCAAGUGAUUUUCUAUAUAUAUGCUGUAUAUGGAUAAUUAUCCUAUCAGCUUCCUCACAUAACAGAAGCACUUCUGUAGCCGAGGGCUCACAUGGUAACAGCAACCCAUGCAGAAGGUGCAGGAAUUUUGAGCCAUUUGUUCUGGUGCCCGUUUGUGUGGCUCUGUACAGCAUUUCCCUGACUUGAAGCAGUGAAAGUUUGGGGGUUUCAGGGAACAGUGGCAUUUCUGGAAGCUGUUCUCCUACUGCAUUCCACAGCCCAUACUGUGCCUGUGAAGAAAACACACGGUCCUUGCCCACCUCUCAGCCCAGAACUGAAUCUUUAUCCUAUUGCUGAUUCCUUCUAUGUAAAUCCAGUGAAUCAGUAGCUGCUCAGGUUUCUGACAUUGUUUCUCUGCUGGCCACUCCUGUCCUGUGCUGGUUCUUCACAGUAAGCCUUCAUGACACAGAACUGCAACUUCAAUGUUAACUUUUACGCAGCAGCCUUCAUGCAACCUGCAACCCCUGCGUGGGACUCCCUGCACUCUGCAUUUUGUUGGUGUGGCAGUAGGUGUGACCAGCAUACGUAACCACCUGCCUCAUCAGAAAUCUAUAAGCAGCAAAUUGCUUUUCAAGCAUUUCAAAAUUGGAAUGUAUGGAUGUGGAACAGCAGUCAUUAAAAGAAGACGUUAAUACAAGAAGAGCCAAUUUAUUUUUAUAAAAGAUGUAAUCUAAUCCAAGACUCCUCUGAAGCCUGUUUAAUCAGUGACACUCAUUGACUGCGCAGGGUGGGUGAGCUCUGCUAAAUGCUGGCUGUGCUACAGCAGCACGGAGCGAGCAGGGAAAGGAUGGUGCAGACACUGCCUGGUGCCCUCGUAAGGCAAUGAGUGGUGCUCAGAGCAAACCCUGCCACUUACGGAUGGGACAGCAGCUCCUGCAGGUCCAUCAUGCACCUAUGGGGCGAUGGGCUCCAGCACGUACUGUUGGAAGCAAGCACCCGAUCUGUGGAAGUUCUAUUCUGUAAUUAGUUCCUGAAAUUCUGACUACAAUUUCACUAUAGAUCUACAGAUAACUUUAAAGGCUUUAAAGAAUGAGAAAGUCAACAAAUCGCUGGUAAAUGCAGCUGCAAGUGGCAGCAGACUGUCACAUCAAAAGGCUGCAGCGAUGCUCUUUCCUUUCAUGAGCCAUGCUGGGGCAUUUUCACUGUUGCUUCCUCAACACCUACAGCUUGUAUGAUCAGAAAGCUUGCUAUGGCUAAGCUCUCUUCUUAGACAUCUUAAAUUCAAAAUGCUGUUACAAAACAGCUUUCGCAGGCUCUCGAAGUAAGUGCUUCUUGGAAACAGAACUCAAAGCCAAAGUUACAAGCAAGGAUCCAGGUUUUUGAGCUGCGAUAAACAAAAUCUUUCACUAAUUUACAAUUGGCAAGAUCUGUGCUUAGCAAGAAGGCAAAGAAAACUUCCCCAGCGCUUUGCUAGGCAAACGGGAGCACAAGCAACUAUUUCAAGUAUUUCACAGCAGUACUUUUCCUCUUCCAUUCAGAAAGAGACGUUCAGCAUUUUAUUUUCUAAACAUUUAGCUGUAACAACCAAGGACUUUUGUUCCUUCAUGCCGACACACGGCAGACUUGCCCCUUUCCCUUCCCACCAGGGGAGGCACAAAGAUGCAGGAACACAGGUAAGCCCUGCGCAAAGCUGGAAGAAAUCCUUGUGCUUCAACAAGCAGAAUUCCAGCAACACAUGCCCUCAACCAAAAGAAUGCAGGCAGGCUUCCAAGUCCUGCCUGGCUUCACAGGAAAGCACAGCGACCCCUAAUGUGGUGUGAUUUCAGCUCUGGGAGCCCAGCCCAGCAGCACUGACCCAGCUGGCUGCUACAGAGCACACAGCUCUUCCCAGCGGUUCUUCCUGGGCCACAAAGCAGAGUUUAAAUGCUAGAUUUAGUCUCCAGCUUUGCCUUCUGCAUUAACUGGCUGAUCACUCAGCAAACAGCAAGGCUGAUGUGACUCAAAUGACUUCUCUGGAGGAAAAGCAACCCAACCACACAGCCCCAGUGCUGCUGUACAGCGGCAUGCUGUUGUAGUGACUUCUCUGAUGAACAAUUUUCCACGCCUUCUCUUUGCUGUAAUAAUUAAAUUUCAAACCUGCGAUGCCUGAGCCCUCUGGUGAUGCGGGCAGUGAAUGGAUUCUUGUCGACACCAACAAAGCUUCCAAGCCUUGUUUGUCUGCAGAGCUGCACCAUCCUGGCUUCAGCUGAAGAAGGCAAGUUAUCGCAAGGGACCGACUAACCGCUCUACCUGAGAUACUGCUUUUAUAAUUAACUCUACAGAUUGAUUUCCGCAGAAAUCGUUCUUUAACCAGGAGUUCCCUACUCCCAGAAUGGCCUCUGCACUGCUAAGCUAUUUAAGAAGUUACCUGGGGACUUAAUCAAGUGCAUUAAAUUUCAGUUUCAUCCUUUCCACCACGGCAAUGCCUUGAAUUAAAUUUCAUACAUUAUAUUUCCUUGUGAUAUUGAUAUAUUCACUUGAGUUUCAGAGCGUAUUAUAAUUACUGAUUGACUUGACUCACUCUGAAUCCAGCAUCUUUCUGGAAAAAUACCAUCUAAGCAAAAAAAAAAAAAAAAAAAAAAAAA